AAAACGUUUGGACUGUCUGUCUACCGAGCAAUUUCACUCGCUCGGUGGAAGAUAUCUUUCUUGUUAA
RNAcentral lists this microRNA precursor (67 nucleotides) under Bombyx mori (domestic silkworm). RNAcentral's name for it is "mir-2774 microRNA precursor family". It matches the Rfam family "mir-2774 microRNA precursor family". Lineage: Eukaryota; Metazoa; Arthropoda; Insecta; Lepidoptera; Bombycidae. The record is from Rfam by way of RNAcentral.